RNAcentral lists this ribosomal RNA (413 nucleotides) under uncultured bacterium. Its description in RNAcentral is "bacterial SSU rRNA". It matches the Rfam family "Bacterial small subunit ribosomal RNA", at positions 8 to 456 of the family's 1533-position model. The record is from RNAcentral.
AGAGUUUGAUCCUGGCUCAGAACGAACGCUGCGCAGGCUUUAACACAUGCAAGUCGAACGCACCGCAAGGUGAGUGGCAGACGGGUGAGUAACGCAUGGGAAUCUACCCAGUUCUUCGGAAUAACUGAGGGAAACUUCAGCUAAUACCGGAUACGCCCUAUGGGGGAAAGAUUUAUCGGAAUUGGAUGAGCCCGCGUCCGAUUAGCUAGUUGGUGGGGUAAUGGCCUACCAAGGCUGCGUCGUUCUGGUCUGAGAGGAUGAUCAGCCACACUGGGACUGAGACACGGCCCAGACUCCUACGGGAGGCAGCAGUGGGGAAUAUUGGACAAUGGGCGCAAGCCUGAUCCAGCCAUGCCGCGUGAGUGAUGAAGGCCUUAGGGUUGUAAGCUCUUUCGGUGGGGAAGAUAAUGCGG